AUUGAACGCUGGCGGCAGGCCUAACACAUGCAAGUCGAACGAGUGGCGGACGGGCGAGUAAUGUCUGGGAAAAUGCCUGAUGGAGGGGGAUAAAUGCUGGAAACGGUAGCAAAUACCGCAUACCAUCGGAUGUGCCCAGGUGGGAUGAGCUAGUAGGUGGGGAAAGGGCUCACUUAGGCGACGAUCCCUAGCUGGUCAGAGAGGAUGACCGGCCGCACUGGAACUGAGACACGGUCCAGACUCCUACGGUAGGCAGCAGUGGGGAAUAUUGCACAAUGGGAGCAAGCCUGAUGCAGCCAUGCCGCGUGUAUGAAGAAGGCGUUCGGGUUGUAAAGUACUUUCAGCGGGGAGGCGUUACCCGCAGAAGAAGCACCGGCUAACUCCGUGCCAGCAGCCGCGGUAAUAC
Molecule: ribosomal RNA, 406 nt
Filed under: uncultured bacterium
Lineage: Bacteria
Description: partial 16S ribosomal RNA
Rfam family: Bacterial small subunit ribosomal RNA
Source: RNAcentral